Molecule: small RNA, 76 nt
Organism: Flavobacterium succinicans
Lineage: Bacteria; Pseudomonadati; Bacteroidota; Flavobacteriia; Flavobacteriales; Flavobacteriaceae
Rfam family: Flavo-1 RNA
Source: Rfam
GUCUAGCCCUGAUGGGAGCGGCAUCCUUGCUUGACGGGGUUCGGCAAGCAAGAUAUAGUGGACAGCAGGACGACUC